Molecule: ribosomal RNA, 406 nt
Filed under: uncultured bacterium
Lineage: Bacteria
Description: partial 16S ribosomal RNA
Rfam family: Bacterial small subunit ribosomal RNA
Source: RNAcentral
CUUGAACGCUGGCGGCAGGCCUAACACAUGCAAGUCGAGCGAGCGGCGGACGGGUGAGUAAUGUAUGGGGAUCUGCCCGAUAGAGGGGGAUAACUACUGGAAACGGUGGAUAAUACCGCAUACUAUCGGAUGAACCCAUAUGGGAUUAGCUAGUUGGUGGGGUAAAUGCUCACCAAGGCGACGAUCUCUAGCUGAUCUGAGAGGAUGACACGCCACACUGUGACUGAGACACGGCCCAGACUCCUACGGGAGGCAGCAGUGGGGAAUAUUGCACAAUGGGCGCAAGCCUGAUGCAGCCAUGCCGCGUGUAUGAAGAAGGCCUUAGGGUGGUAAAGUACUUUCAGCGGGGAGGCGUGACCCGCAGAAGAAGCACCGGCUAACUCCGUGCCAGCAGCCGCGGUAAUUC